CAGCGAAACUGCGAAUGGCUCAUUAAAUCAGUUAUCGUUUAUUUGAUAGUACCAUACUACUUGGAUAACCGUGGUAAUUCUAGAGCUAAUACAUGCUAAAAACCUCGACUUCGGAAGAGGUGUGUUUAUUAGAUUAAAGACCAAUGCCCUCCGGGGCUCACUGGUGAUUCAUAAUAACCUCUCGAAUCGCACGGCCCUGCGCCGGCGAUGGUUCAUUCAAAUUUCUGCCCUAUCAACUUUCGACUUUAGUGUAGUGGACUAAAGUGGUUGCAACGGGUAACGGAGGGUUAGGGCUCGACCCCGGAGAAGGAGCCUGAGAAACGGCUACUACAUCCAAGGAAGGCAGCAGGCGCGCAAAUUACCCAAUCCCGACACGGGGAGGUAGUGACAAUAAAUACUGAUACAGGGCUCUUUCGGGUCUUGUAAUUGGAAUGAGUACAAUUUAAAUCCCUUAACGAGGAACAAUUGGAGGGCAAGUCUGGUGCCAGCAGCCGCGGUAAUUCCAGCUCCAAUAGCGUAUAUUAAAGUUGUUGUGGUUAAAAAGCUCGUAGUUGAACCUGGGGCCCCGCGCCCGCCGGUCCGCCUCACCGCGUGCACUGGCGCGGCCGGGGCUUUCACUUGGGGAACCGCAUGCCCUUCGCUGGGCGUGCGCGGAACCAGGACCUUUACUGUGAAAAAAUUAGAGUGUUCAAAGCAGGCCUAUGCUCGAAUACAUUAGCAUGGAAUAAUAGAAUAGGACGCGCGGUUCUAUUUUGUUGGUUAUGGGACCGCCGUAAUGAUUAAUAGGGCCAGUCGGGGGCAUCAGUAUUCAAUAGUCAGAGGUGAAAUUCUUGGAUUUAUUGAAGACUAACUACUGCGAAAGCAUUUGCCAAGGAUGUUUUCAUUAAUCAGGAACGAAAGUUAGGGGAUCGAAGACGAUCAGAUACCGUCGUAGUCUUAACCAUAAACUAUGCCGACUAGGGAUCGGGCGAUGUUACAUUCUGACUCGCUCGGCACCUUACGAGAAAUCAAAGUCUGUGGGUUCCUGGGGAAGUAUG
This 1037-nucleotide ribosomal RNA is filed under the name Lulworthia atlantica. Its description in RNAcentral is "SSU rRNA". It matches the Rfam family "Eukaryotic small subunit ribosomal RNA", at positions 79 to 1127 of the family's 1831-position model. The record is from RNAcentral. Lineage: Eukaryota; Fungi; Ascomycota; Sordariomycetes; Lulworthiales; Lulworthiaceae.